GAUGAACGCUGGCGGCGUGCCUAAUACAUGCAAGUCGAGCGAACAGACGAGGAGCUUGCUCCUCUGACGUUAGCGGCGGACGGGUGAGUAACACGUGGAUAACCUACCUAUAAGACGGGGAUAACUUCGGGACACCGGCGCUAAUACCGGAGAAUAUAUUGAACCGCAUGGGUCGAUAGUGAAAUACGGUGGUGCUGUCACUUAUAGAUGGAUCCGCGCCUCAUUAGCGAGUUGGUAAGGUAACGGCUUACCAAGGCAACGAUGCCUGACCGACCUGAGAGGGGGAUCGGCCACACGGGAAGUGAGCCACCGUCCAGGCUCCUACGGGAGGCCGCAGUCGCGAAUCUUCCGAACUGGGCGAAAGACUGACGGAGCAACGGCGCGUGAGUGAUGAAGGUCUUCGGGUCGUAAAACGCUGUUCUUAGGGAAGACCAAAUGUGUAAGUAACUAUGCACGUCUUGCCGGUACCUAUACAGAAGGCCCCGGCUACCUACGU
Molecule: ribosomal RNA, 496 nt
Filed under: uncultured bacterium
Lineage: Bacteria
Description: partial 16S ribosomal RNA
Rfam family: Bacterial small subunit ribosomal RNA
Source: RNAcentral